CGAGGCGUGGCUCAGUUUGGCUAGAGCGCUGUCUUAGGGAGGCAGAGGUCGCAAGUUCAAAUCUUGUCGCCUCGA
Molecule: transfer RNA, 75 nt
Filed under: Anaerocolumna aminovalerica
Lineage: Bacteria; Bacillati; Bacillota; Clostridia; Lachnospirales; Lachnospiraceae
Description: Clostridium aminovalericum tRNA
Rfam family: tRNA
About the family: Transfer RNA (tRNA) molecules are approximately 80 nucleotides in length. Their secondary structure includes four short double-helical elements and three loops (D, anti-codon, and T loops).
Source: Rfam by way of RNAcentral